RNAcentral lists this ribosomal RNA (467 nucleotides) under uncultured bacterium. Its description in RNAcentral is "partial 16S ribosomal RNA". It matches the Rfam family "Bacterial small subunit ribosomal RNA", at positions 29 to 507 of the family's 1533-position model. The record is from RNAcentral.
ACGAACGCUGGCGGCGUGCUUAACACAUGCACGUCGAACGGAAAGGCCCUGCUUUUGUGGGGUGCUCGAGUGGCGAACGGGUGAGUAACACGUGAGUAACCUGCCCUUGACUUUGGGAUAACUUCAGGAAACUGGGGCUAAUACCGGAUAGGGGCUCCUGCUGCAUGGUGGGGGUUGGAAAGUUUCGGCGGUUGGGGAUGGACUCGCGGCUUAUCAGCUUGUUGGUGGGGUAGUGGCUUACCAAGGCUUUGACGGGUAGCCGGCCUGAGAGGGUGACCGGCCACAUUGGGACUGAGAUACGGCCCAGACUCCUACGGGAGGCAGCAGUGGGGAAUAUUGCACAAUGGGCGGAAGCCUGAUGCAGCAACGCCGCGUGCGGGAUGACGGCCUUCGGGUUGUAAACCGCUUUCGCCUGUGACGAAGCGUGAGUGACGGUAAUGGGUAAAGAAGCACCGGCUAACUACGUG